Molecule: long non-coding RNA, 257 nt
Organism: Penaeus monodon (black tiger shrimp)
Lineage: Eukaryota; Metazoa; Arthropoda; Malacostraca; Decapoda; Penaeidae
Exons: 3
Source: RefSeq, a predicted model, not a curated record
CUAAGGCCGCGUUAUGUUUCGGCGAGGAAAAGUGUCAGAAAAGUUUUGCAAAUUCUCUUCUGUAUAGUCGCUUCUGCAUCAUCAAACUUUGCAGAAUAGGAAAGAUGAUGCUUUAGGGUAUGUCUACGCAUUGCUAAAUAUACCAUAGUCAGUAGACGUUCUGCAUUCCCUAGAGACCACAUUUUCUGAAGACACAUUUGCUAUUGUAUAGAAAUGUACGGUGCGCACACGAGGACAAAGUGAAGUUUGGUCGUCCA